This 460-nucleotide ribosomal RNA is filed under the name uncultured bacterium. RNAcentral describes it as "partial 16S ribosomal RNA". It matches the Rfam family "Bacterial small subunit ribosomal RNA", at positions 338 to 795 of the family's 1533-position model. The record is from RNAcentral.
CCUACGGGUGGCAGCAGUGAGGAAUAUUGGUCAAUGGGCGUAAGCCUGAACCAGCCAAGUCGCGUGAGGGAUGAAGGUUCUAUGGAUCGUAAACCUCUUUUAUAAGGGAAUAAAGUGCGGGACGUGUCCCGUUUUGUAUGUACCUUAUGAAUAAGGAUCGGCUAACUCCGUGCCAGCAGCCGCGGUAAUACGGAGGAUCCGAGCGUUAUCCGGAUUUAUUUGGUUUAAAGGGUGAGUAGGCGGUAUGUCAAGUCCAGGGUGAAAUCCCCGCGUUCAACGUUGGAACUGCCUUUGAAACUGGCAAACUGGAGUGUUGGAGAGGAUAGUGGAAUUCCAGGUGUAGGAGUGAAAUCCGUAGAUAUCUGGAGGAACAUCAGUGGCGAAGGCGACUAUCUGGCACAUAACUGACGCUGAGGAGCGAAAGCGUGGGUAGCAAACAGGAUUAGAUACCCCUGUAGUC